ACUCAAAGGAAUAGACGGGGGCCCGCACAAGCGGUGGAGCGUGUGGUUUAAUUCGACGCUAAGCGAAGAACCUUACCCAGGUUUGACAUCCUGAUCGUAUCCCUUGGAAACUUGGGAGUCAGUUUGCUGGAUCGGUGACAGGUGCUGCAUGGUCGUCGUCAGCUCGUGUCGUGAGAUGUUGGGUUAAGUCCCGCAACGAGCGCAACCCUUGUCGUGUGUUGUAUUUUUCACGCGAGACUGCCUCGGUCAACGAGGAGGAAGGUGGGGAUGACGUCAGAUCAGCAUGGCCCUUAUACCUGGGGCGACACACGCGCUACAAUGGCGGAUACAAUGGGUCGCGAAAUCGCGAGAUGGAGCUAAUCCCAUCAAAGUCCGUCUCAGUUCGGAUUGGAGGCUGCAACUCGCCUCCAUGAAGCCGGAAUCGCUAGUAAUCGCAGGUCAGCCAUACUGCGGUGAAUACGUUCUCGGGCCUUGUACACACCGCCCGU
This 488-nucleotide ribosomal RNA is filed under the name uncultured bacterium. RNAcentral's name for it is "partial 16S ribosomal RNA". It matches the Rfam family "Bacterial small subunit ribosomal RNA", at positions 899 to 1397 of the family's 1533-position model. The record is from RNAcentral.